RNAcentral lists this transfer RNA (72 nucleotides) under Rhipidura albiscapa. RNAcentral describes it as "tRNA-Glu". The record is from RNAcentral. Lineage: Eukaryota; Metazoa; Chordata; Aves; Passeriformes; Rhipiduridae. RNAcentral also lists the same sequence under 2 other names.
GUUCCUGUAGUUAAAUUUCAUUAACGAUGGCUUUUCAGGCCAUAGAUCUUAGAGAGAGGCUAAGUAGGAACU